UGCAUCCCUGGGAAUCGAAUCCGGGGCGCCCGCGUGGCAGGCGAGCAUUCUACCACUGAACCAAAAGC
This is a non-coding RNA of Cordylochernes scorpioides, 68 nucleotides long. The record is from the annotation of a GenBank genome assembly. NCBI's taxonomy places the organism in Eukaryota, Metazoa, Arthropoda, Arachnida, Pseudoscorpiones, Chernetidae.